CAAACAGGAUUAGAUACCCUGGUAGUCCACGCCGUAAACGAUGAGUGCUAAGUGUUGGAGGGUUUCCGCCCUUCAGUGCUGCAGCUAACGCAUUAAGCACUCCGCCUGGGGAGUACGACCGCAAGGUUGAAACUCAAAGGAAUUGACGGGGGCCCGCACAAGCGGUGGAGCAUGUGGUUUAAUUCGAAGCAACGCGAAGAACCUUACCAGGUCUUGACAUCCUUUGACCACUCUAGAGAUAGAGCUUCCCCUUCGGGGGGCAAAGUGACAGGUGGUGCAUGGUUGUCGUCAGCUCGUGUCGUGAGAUGUUGGGUUAAGUCCCGCAACGAGCGCAACCCUUAUUGUUAGUUGCCAUCAUUCAGUUGGGCACUCUAGCAAGACUGCCGGUGACAAACCGGAGGAAGGUGGGGAUGACGUCAAAUCAUCAUGCCCCUUAUGACCUGGGCUACACACGUGCUACAAUGGGAAGUACAACGAGUUGCGAAGUCGCGAGGCUAAGCUAAUCUCUUAAAGCUUCUCUCAGUUCGGAUUGCAGGCUGCAACUCGCCUGCAUGAAGCCGGAAUCGCUAGUAAUCGCGGAUCAGCACGCCGCGGUGAAUACGUUCCCGGGCCUUGUACACACCGCCCGUCACACCACGAGAGUUUGUAACACCCGAAGUCGGUGAGGUAACCUUUUNGGAGCCAGCCGCCUAAGGUGGGAUAGAUGAUUGGGGUGAAGUCGUAACAAGGUAGCCGUAUCGGAAGGUGCGGCUGGAUCACCUCCUUUCUAAGGAA
This 774-nucleotide ribosomal RNA is filed under the name Enterococcus faecium. RNAcentral's name for it is "bacterial SSU rRNA". It matches the Rfam family "Bacterial small subunit ribosomal RNA", at positions 769 to 1533 of the family's 1533-position model. The record is from RNAcentral. Lineage: Bacteria; Bacillati; Bacillota; Bacilli; Lactobacillales; Enterococcaceae.